This 427-nucleotide ribosomal RNA is filed under the name uncultured bacterium. RNAcentral's name for it is "bacterial SSU rRNA". It matches the Rfam family "Bacterial small subunit ribosomal RNA", at positions 355 to 774 of the family's 1533-position model. The record is from RNAcentral.
UGAGGAAUAUUGGACAAUGGGCGCAAGCCUGAUCCAGCAAUGCCGCGUGCAGGAUGAAGGCCUUCGGGUUGUAAACUGCUUUUGUACGGAGCGAAAAGGUCUGCCCUAAUACGGUGGGCUCAUGACGGUACCGUAAGAAUAAGCACCGGCUAACUACGUGCCAGCAGCCGCGGUAAUACGUAGGGUGCGAGCGUUAAUCGGAAUUACUGGGCGUAAAGCGUGCGCAGGCGGUUAUAUAAGACAGAUGUGAAAUCCCUGGGCUCAACCUGGGACCUGCAUUUGUGACUGUAUAGCUAGAGUACGGUAGAGGGGGAUGGAAUUCCGCGUGUAGCAGUGAAAUGCGUAGAUAUGCGGAGGAACACCGAUGGCGAAGGCAAUCCCCUGGACCUGUACUGACGCUCAUGCACGAAAGCGUGGGGAGCAAACA